Molecule: ribosomal RNA, 548 nt
Filed under: uncultured bacterium
Lineage: Bacteria
Description: bacterial SSU rRNA
Rfam family: Bacterial small subunit ribosomal RNA
Source: RNAcentral
UAGGGAAUCUUCCACAAUGGGCGCAAGCCUGAUGGAGCAACACCGCGUGAGUGAAGAAGGGUUUCGGCUCGUAAAGCUCUGUUGUUAAAGAAGAACACGUAUGAGAGUAACUGUUCAUACGUUGACGGUAUUUAACCAAAAAGUCACGGCUAACUACGUGCCAGCAGCCGCGGUAAUACGUAGGUGGCAAGCGUUAUCCGGAUUUAUUGGGCGUAAAGAGAGUGCAGGCGGUUUUCUAAGUCUGAUGUGAAAGCCUUCGGCUUAACCGGAGAAGUGCAUCGGAAACUGGAUAACUUGAGUGCAGAAGAGGGUAGUGGAACUCCAUGUGUAGCGGUGGAAUGCGUAGAUAUAUGGAAGAACACCAGUGGCGAAGGCGGCUACCUGGUCUGCAACUGACGCUGAGACUCGAAAGCAUGGGUAGCGAACAGGAUUAGAUACCCUGGUAGUCCAUGCCGUNNCGAUGAGUGCUAGGUGUUGGAGGGUUUCCACCCUUCAGUGCCGGAGCUAACGCAUUAAGCACUCCGCCUGGGGAGUACGACCGCAAGGNU